Molecule: unclassified non-coding RNA, 300 nt
Filed under: Hevea brasiliensis (rubber tree)
Lineage: Eukaryota; Viridiplantae; Streptophyta; Magnoliopsida; Malpighiales; Euphorbiaceae
Source: RNAcentral
AACCCUUAACAAUGUGUCUGCAGGAAAAAUAUAUGUUGAAAUUGAGAGAGCCCGUCUGAUUAAGAAGCUUGCAAAAAUUAAAGAAGAACAAGGACUCAUAGCUGAGGCUGCUAAUUUGAUGCAAGAAGUUGCGGUUGAAACUUUUGGAGCAAUGGCAAAAACAGAGAAGAUUGCUUUUAUUCUUGAACAAGUGCGUCUCUGUUUGGAUAGUCUAGAUUAUGUGCGUGCACAAAUACUCUCAAGAAAGAUCAAUCCCAAAGUGUUUGAAGCCGAUCCUUCUAAAGAAAAGAAGAAACCAAA